AGCUUUGCGCAGUGGCAGUAUCGUAGCCAAUGAGGUUUAUCCGAGGCGCGAUUAUUGCUAAUUAAAUCCUCUUCUUUCUUUAUUCAAACAACUUCUUAUCAAUUCCUUUUAUAAAAUUUUUUAUAAUUUUUAUCUUUACAG
This is a non-coding RNA of Callorhinus ursinus (northern fur seal), 141 nucleotides long. The record is from RefSeq and is a predicted model, not a curated record. Lineage: Eukaryota; Metazoa; Chordata; Mammalia; Carnivora; Otariidae.